CUCCCUUUAUCCUGCUCUCUGGCUCUGAGUACAGAUUUAAAACCCAGAGCCCGAGAGAGGCAUCACAUGUGUAAAUGCCUCUAUAUACCUUUCUGUCUGCAUUGCCUGUGACUCUGAUCGCCUCUUUUGCGGUCUGUGUUUCAGGAGAACUGGAUUCAGAGGACGUGAAAAUUAACCUGGUUUUGCCGUGUUCCUGGGCACCUGCCUCCAUGCACACCUGAGUUCAGGAGCCAUGUCCCUCCACUAGAGGGCGGGCAUCGUAGACGCCUGCUACGCCACCUGGGCUGUCGCGUGUGUUCCGGCCUCAGCCCUGGAGAAGGGCCAACGCCAACCAGCCCACAAGCAGCAGAGAACAGCAACUCCGCCAGGCAGACUCCAAGACGGUUCAGAAAAAUAAAGAGGCAAACGUGGCAGGUCAGGAGGUCCUUGGCUCUUCUCUCGUUGGACUCGAAUUCGCUGUGUUGAAACAUACGUAGUCUCUGAGUUUCCUUCCUCACUUCCUCCAAGAAGGCCUUGGCGGGGAGGUAGCAUGGCGCUCCAUGUGGCAGAAAGGCGAGAGAGCCGCUGGCCAGCAAGUGUAAUCCCUCUGGAAAGCAUUCAGAAUACUCGUGCGUUCUGUACUUUUCCCCCAAGUAAAUAAGGUGGAAAAGCAUCAGAAAAGUCAAAGUUUUCCUCAGGAAUCCAGACCACGGGGAGAAAAAUGACAAGUUGUCGUGGCUCACCCUUGCGAGCCACGAGUCUCUCCACGAACCCAGCGUAGCACCAGUGCCUACAGAGGAAGGGACACCUUCGUAUCUGAGCUUGGCUGCCACACUGAGUAGAACCAGAGGAGCUGCCAAAAAAAACGGCCACUUUGAAAUCUAGUGAAAGCAGCUAAGUCAACAAAGGAACAACAGGAUCCCAGGUUGCAAAACAAGUUGGAAAAACUUUUCCAAGUGCUGUCUUGGUGACCGCGUGACACAGAUCCUUUGCUUUGCCUCCAGAAGCAUUUAGCUCAGGGUUGCUUCUCGAAUUAACCUACAGGCAGAGGAACGUGCUCUUAGGGUGAAACUCCAUUGUUGCUGCUGCUUUCCGCAGAG
Molecule: long non-coding RNA, 1079 nt
Filed under: Bos indicus x Bos taurus (hybrid cattle)
Lineage: Eukaryota; Metazoa; Chordata; Mammalia; Artiodactyla; Bovidae
Description: lncRNA (ENSBIXG00000014157.1)
Source: RNAcentral